Molecule: long non-coding RNA, 563 nt
Filed under: Monodelphis domestica (gray short-tailed opossum)
Lineage: Eukaryota; Metazoa; Chordata; Mammalia; Didelphimorphia; Didelphidae
Description: lncRNA (ENSMODG00000048083.1)
Source: RNAcentral
CCUCCAAGACUACCCUGUGGCUUUAGACAACUUGAAUUAAAGAGAUGAACUUGAACAAGAAGCAACUUACUAGAUCUGCACUGUCUGAAUAUAGCACAGUAAGAGCAGAGGGCAUAAUCCAUAGUUUUGCUCUUACAUAUUAUAACUCAGUCCCUUAUUGUUGUUCUAACUCAGAGGGGCUACAUGGGUGAUCUUAUUCAUAAGAAGUUGGUGCUAUUGAGGAACUCCCGUUUCUCUCCAUAAGGUUCAAGAACUCCCCAGAAACUUGGCAUUGUCAAGGAAAUCCACUGUCUUUUGUCCUGGAGGCUGGGUCAUGUGGCUUCAUCCUCUGCUGGGGCCACAUCAUUGAAAGAUUCCACCAUUGCCACCAGAAGAUGAGGAGGGAUCAAGAAAACUAUGGAAUCUGGUGUUCAAAUUGUGUCUUAAAGAAAAAGGACUUUAUAAGGCAAAAAGAAAGAGAAAGUGCAUCCCAAGAAUAUGAAGUAACCAGUACAAAGACAAAGCAUGUAUUUAUUUGAGGAUCAUCAUAAUUCCAAGUUAUUUCAGAAAACUGAAAUUUAACA